This 65-nucleotide transfer RNA is filed under the name Salmonella enterica subsp. enterica serovar Heidelberg str. 670102-3. Its description in RNAcentral is "tRNA-Gln". It matches the Rfam family "tRNA". Rfam says of the family: Transfer RNA (tRNA) molecules are approximately 80 nucleotides in length. Their secondary structure includes four short double-helical elements and three loops (D, anti-codon, and T loops). The record is from RNAcentral. Lineage: Bacteria; Pseudomonadati; Pseudomonadota; Gammaproteobacteria; Enterobacterales; Enterobacteriaceae.
UCGCCAAGCGGUAAGGCACCGGAUUCUGAUUCCGGCAUUCCGAGGUUCGAAUCCUCCGUACCCCA